GUGUCAGCAGCCGCGGUAAUACGUAGGUGGCAAGCGUUGUCCGGAUUUAUUGGGCGUAAAGCGAACGCAGGCGGGAGAAUAAGUCAGCUGUGAAAGCCCUCAGCUUAACUGGGGAACUGCAGCUGAAACUAUUUUUCUUGAGUGCAGAAGAGGAGAGUGGAACUCCAUGUGUAGCGGUGGAAUGCGUAGAUAUAUGGAAGAACACCAGUGGCGAAGGCGGCUCUCUGGUCUGUAACUGACGCUGAGGUUCGAAAGCAUGGGUAGCGAACAGGAUUAGAUACCCUGGUAGUCCAUGCCGUAAACGAUGAGUGCUAAGUGUUGGGAGGUUUCCGCCUCUCAGUGCUGCAGCUAACGCAUUAAGCACUCCGCCUGGGGAGUACGACCGCAAGGUUAAAACUCAAAUAAAUUGACGG
RNAcentral lists this ribosomal RNA (413 nucleotides) under uncultured bacterium. Its description in RNAcentral is "bacterial SSU rRNA". It matches the Rfam family "Bacterial small subunit ribosomal RNA", at positions 505 to 916 of the family's 1533-position model. The record is from RNAcentral.